Molecule: ribosomal RNA, 253 nt
Filed under: uncultured bacterium
Lineage: Bacteria
Description: partial 16S ribosomal RNA
Rfam family: Bacterial small subunit ribosomal RNA
Source: RNAcentral
UACGUAGGGUCCGAGCGUUGUCCGGAGUUACUGGGCGUAAAGCGCGCGCAGGCGGCGGUGUUGGCCCGGCGUGAAAGCCCCCGGCUCAACCGGGGAGAGUCGUCGGGGACCGCACCGCUUGAGGGCGGUAGGGGCCGGUGGAAUGCCUGGUGUAGUGGUGAAAUGCGUAGAGAUCAGGCAGAACACCUGGGGCGAAGGCGGCCAGCUGGGCCGUCCCUGACGCUGAGGCGCGAAGGCGUGGGGAGCGAACGGG